This 476-nucleotide ribosomal RNA is filed under the name uncultured bacterium. RNAcentral describes it as "bacterial SSU rRNA". It matches the Rfam family "Bacterial small subunit ribosomal RNA", at positions 328 to 793 of the family's 1533-position model. The record is from RNAcentral.
UCAGUCGACUCCUACGGGGAGGCAGCAGUGGGGAAUAUUGCACAAUGGGGGGAAACCCUGAUGCAGCCAUGCCGCGUGUGUGAAGAAGGCCUUCGGGUUGUAAAGCACUUUCAGUAGGGAGGAAGGUAGUGUAGUUAACACCUGCAUUAUUUGACGUUACCUACAGAAGAAGCACCGGCUAACUCCGUGCCAGCAGCCGCGGUAAUACGGAGGGUGCGAGCGUUAAUCGGAAUUACUGGGCGUAAAGCGCAUGCAGGUGGCCUGUUAAGUCAGAUGUGAAAGCCCGGGGCUUAACCUCGGAAUUGCAUUUGAAACUGGCAGGCUAGAGUCUUGUAGAGGGGGGUAGGAAUUUCAGGUGUAGCGGUGAAAUGCGUAGAGAUCUGAAGGAAUACCAGUGGCGAAGGCGGCCCCCUGGACAAAGACUGACGCUCAGAUGCGAAAGCGUGGGGAGCAAACAGGAUUAGAUACCCUGGUAG